UUUAAAAGACCUUGUUGUAGUGUACUUCUGUUCUGUGGUGUACUUGUACUUUGGUGUUUGGUGUACUUCACAGAAGGUAGAAGGUGUACUUGCUCCUUGCUCCGUGUCCGUGGUCCGUGCAGUGAGUGCUUUACCCGAGAUCAAACGCGUUAUGUUGAGUUAAUUCUUUUUUUUUGCAACAAAAUGGAUUCAGAUUCCUCAGUGUCCUCUGAUGAGAUUGACUGGCUAGGGGUAAAUUGUGGUGUUUUUGAAGAUGAUGUGGUCAAUGUCGUCAAUGACGGAAAUUCCCGAGAAUUUGACAACGGUGUUAACGAUGUUAAAAAAAUCAAGAACUUUUCCCUGGAAAAUACAGCGGCGGCUGCGUGUUCCAUUUUGCAAAAAAAUAAAAGAAAAAGAGAGACGUCUGGUAACAAAAA
Molecule: long non-coding RNA, 416 nt
Organism: Sitophilus oryzae (rice weevil)
Lineage: Eukaryota; Metazoa; Arthropoda; Insecta; Coleoptera; Curculionidae
Exons: 3
Source: RefSeq, a predicted model, not a curated record